AUUGAACGCUGGCGGCGUGCCUAACACAUGCAAGUCGAACGCGCUCCAUUCGGUAGCAAUACUGAUGAAGAGCGAGUGGCGAACGGGUGAGUAGCACGUGAGCAACCUGCCCCGAAGACUGGGACAACACCGGGAAACCGGUGCUAAUACCGGAUAUCCUUAUCGGACCGCAUGAUCUGAUAAGGAAACGUUUUUUCGCUUCGGGAGGGGCUCGCGGCCUAUCAGCUUGUUGGUGGGGUAAUGGCCUACCAAGGCAUCGACGGGUAGCUG
RNAcentral lists this ribosomal RNA (270 nucleotides) under uncultured bacterium. Its description in RNAcentral is "partial 16S ribosomal RNA". It matches the Rfam family "Bacterial small subunit ribosomal RNA", at positions 30 to 289 of the family's 1533-position model. The record is from RNAcentral.